Molecule: ribosomal RNA, 426 nt
Filed under: uncultured bacterium
Lineage: Bacteria
Description: bacterial SSU rRNA
Rfam family: Bacterial small subunit ribosomal RNA
Source: RNAcentral
UGAGUAACACGUGGGCAAUCUGCCCCUCGCAGGGGGACAACCGGGGGAAACCCCGGCUAAUACCCCGUAAGCUCCAGGGACCGCAUGGCCCUUGGAGGAAAGGUAGCUUCGGCAUCCGGCGAGGGAUGAGCCCGCGGUGCAUUAGCUAGUUGGUGGGGUAACGGCCUACCAAGGCGACGAUGCAUAGCUGGUCUGAGAGGAUGAUCAGCCACACUGGGACUGAGACACGGUCCAGACUCAUACGGGAGGCAGCAGUCGGGAAUCUUGCGCAAUGGGCGAAAGCCUGACGCAGCAACACCGUGUGUGUGACGAAGGCCUUCGGGUCGUAAAGCACUGUUGUUGGGGACGAAGGGCGAAGGGUUAAUAGCCCCGAGCUUGACGGUACCCUUCGAGGAAGCCCCGGUAACUACGUGCCAGCAGCCGCGG